CCUACGGGUGGCAGCAGUGAGGAAUAUUGGUCAAUGGGCGCGAGCCUGAACCAGCCAAGUAGCGUGAAGGAUGACUGCCCUACGGGUUGUAAACUUCUUUUAUAAAGGAAUAAAGUGAGGCACGUGUGCCUUUUUGUAUGUACUUUAUGAAUAAGGAUCGGCUAACUCCGUGCCAGCAGCCGCGGUAAUACGGAGGAUCCGAGCGUUAUCCGGAUUUAUUGGGUUUAAAGGGAGCGUAGAUGGGUUGUUAAGUCAGUUGUGGAGUUUGGGGCUCAACCGGAAAAUUGCAAUUGAUACUGGGAGUCUGGAGUACAGGUGAGGUAGGCGGAAGUGGGGGGGGAGGGGUGAGAGGGUGAGAGAGGACGAAG
Molecule: ribosomal RNA, 368 nt
Filed under: uncultured bacterium
Lineage: Bacteria
Description: partial 16S ribosomal RNA
Rfam family: Bacterial small subunit ribosomal RNA
Source: RNAcentral